CCUACGGGAGGCAGCAGUGAGGAAUAUUGGUCAAUGGGAGAGAUCCUGAACCAGCCAAGCCGCGUGAGGGAGGAAGGUACAGAGUAUCGUAAACCUCUUUUGUCAGGGAACAAAGACUGGGACGCGUCCCCGGAUGAGUGUACCUGAAGAAAAAGCAUCGGCUAACUCCGUGCCAGCAGCCGCGGUAAUACGGAGGAUGCGAGCGUUAUCCGGAUUUAUUGGGUUUAAAGGGUGCGCAGGCGGUCUGUUAAGUCAGCGGUCAAAGCCCGGGGCUCAACCCCGGCCCGCCGUUGAAACUGGCAGUC
Molecule: ribosomal RNA, 305 nt
Filed under: uncultured bacterium
Lineage: Bacteria
Description: bacterial SSU rRNA
Rfam family: Bacterial small subunit ribosomal RNA
Source: RNAcentral